RNAcentral lists this ribosomal RNA (643 nucleotides) under uncultured Actinomycetes bacterium. RNAcentral's name for it is "bacterial SSU rRNA". It matches the Rfam family "Bacterial small subunit ribosomal RNA", at positions 232 to 885 of the family's 1533-position model. The record is from RNAcentral. Lineage: Bacteria; Bacillati; Actinomycetota; Actinomycetes.
CGCGGCCUAUCAGCUUGUUGGUGGGGUAAUGGCCUACCAAGGCGACGACGGGUAGCCGGCCUGAGAGGGUGACCGGCCACACUGGGACUGAGACACGGCCCAGACUCCUACGGGAGGCAGCAGUGGGGAAUAUUGCACAAUGGGCGCAAGCCUGAUGCAGCAACGCCGCGUGAGGGAUGACGGCCUUCGGGUUGUAAACCUCUUUUAGCAGGGAAGAAGCGAAAGUGACGGUACCUGCAGAAAAAGCACCGGCUAACUACGUGCCAGCAGCCGCGGUAAUACGUAGGGUGCAAGCGUUGUCCGGAAUUAUUGGGCGUAAAGAGCUCGUAGGCGGUUUGUCACGUCUGCUGUGAAAAUCCAAGGCUCAACCUUGGACUUGCAGUGGGUACGGGCAGGCUAGAGUGCGGUAGGGGAGAUGGGGAUUCCUGGUGUAGCGGUGGAAUGCGCAGAUAUCAGGAGGAACACCAAUGGCGAAGGCACAUCUCUGGGCCGUAACUGACGCUGAGGAGCGAAAGCGUGGGGAGCGAACAGGAUUAGAUACCCUGGUAGUCCACGCCGUAAACGGUGGGUGCUAGCUGUGGGCCACAUUCCACGUGGUCCGUGACGAAGUUAACACAUUAAGCACCCCGCCUGGGGAGUACGG